Long non-coding RNA from Diorhabda carinulata, 5777 nucleotides. RefSeq lists it as uncharacterized. Lineage: Eukaryota; Metazoa; Arthropoda; Insecta; Coleoptera; Chrysomelidae. The transcript has 2 exons. The record is from RefSeq and is a predicted model, not a curated record.
AGUCUUACAAUAUGGCGUCUGAGUUAACAGGUGCAGUUAUAAUGAAUAUUUCGCGUAUAAAUCCAUAAAUUCAUGAUUGCAUUUUGGGCAAAAUUAAACGAAUUUUUAUUGCAGCGUCAAUAUAUGGAAAAUAAAAAUUAACAAUGUUUACUUUGGCUUUAAUUACGUUAGGUUUACUUUAUACUUGUGUAAGUUUAUUUAAAGCUUCGAUUAGGUGUUAGGUUUAAAUUAGCUUCAAUUGGGUUAGGUUUACUUUAGCCUUGAUUUGUUUCACCUUUAAUUAGGUUUACUAUAUACUUGAUUUAUUUCAGCUUCAGUUAGGUUUACUUUAGCCUUGAUUUGUUUCAGCUUUAAUUAAGUUAGGUUUACUAUAUACUUGAUUUAGGUUUCCUUAACCUUCCGUCGGGCGCAACUGAUCAAAUUGAUACUCUCGUAAUAAAUUAUUCCCAAUAAAGCGAAUGCGGACAUUCUCCCGUGUGCCCUCUCCAGUAGCUUGGCAUCUUGAGCCCAUCCACACGUGCAUUGCCGUCAGUCGUCGAUUUAAUGUGAAGGUGUGUCGUAAUCUGAUAAAAUAUUUUGAUAUCUCGCGCCCAACCACGCUCUUUUUUAUAAAGUGCCAAUUUUGAAAAAAAAAACGCUAUAGGAAAGCAAUGUCAUCGGCUCAAAAACAAUUUGACCUAAAUAAUCCUGCUGAUGUUAGAGAGAUUCACAAAAUAUUAUAUGAAGAUGAAGAUUCACAGCCCAUAGAAGAUUUUGAAGACGAUAGCGACACCGAUGCAGAAGACUACACAGAAAGCCGUCAAGGGGACUCGUAAUCAAAACAGUCAGAUUCAAGCAAUGAAGAUGUUAUGGAAAAUGAAAUUUAUUUUACAGAGAAAGAUAAAGAAAAAAAAAUUGCGUAUCAUGCCCUCAUCAAGAAGCACUCGCACGAAACCACAUAACAUUUUGAAAAAACUUCCUGGAGUCAUUGGUAAUGCAAAAUAUUCACGUACUCCUUUAGAAUGUUGGAGCCAACUGUUAUCCAAUAACAUUCUAGAGAUUAUUGUUCGUUAUACUAAUCAAUAUAUAGAAAGUAUAAAAUCAACUUUUUCACGGGAAAGGCUUGCGAGGCAAAUCGACAUGAUAGAAUUGAAAGCUUUUGUUGGGCUUCUAUUUUUAGCCUGUAUUUGGAGAAGUAAUCGGCAAAGUUUGGAAGACCUUUGGGGAACCUGUAAUGAUGGCGUGGAAAAAUUUCGAAUGGUCAUGAGUAUAAAAAGAGAUAGUUUAAAAUGCGAUGUCUAAGAUUUGAUGACAGAUCCACACGCGAAGAGAGAAAAAAGAAGAUAAACUUGCAGCAGUACGAGAAAUAUUCAGCAUGUUUAUAGAAAACUGCCAAAGAUGUUAUUCGUUAGGUGAAAAUGUUACAAUUGACGAAAAAUUAGAAGGCUUUAGGGGCAGGUGCGGAUUCAGGCAGUAUAUUCCCAGUAAGCCAAAUAAAUAUGGCAUUAAAAUAUAUGCUCUUGUCGACACCCAGGUAUUUUAUAUAUAUAAUUUGGAGAUAUAUGCUGGACAGCAUCCAGAGGAACCCUAUCGAGUAAGGAACAAGCCUGAUGAUGUAGUUCUUAGGCUAGCCAAACCGAUUUUUGGCUCUGGUCGAAAUAUAACUGCUGACAAUUGGUUCAGCAGUAUAAGCCUUGUAGAGAAGUUAAUUGAGAAAAAGCUGUCAUAUGUUGGUAUAUUAAAGAAGAAUAAGAGAGAAGUACCUCCUGAAUUUUUGUCUAGUAAAAAUCGAGAAGUCUUUAGUAGCCUUUUUGGAUUCAAAAAAGAUUAUUCAUUGGUUUCCUAUGCCAAAAAAAAGGAAAGUGCAUUAUUUUAGUAUCCUUACACAACGACAAUGAAAUAGAUCCUGAGACAUAUGAUCAGAAAUAAACCCGCCAUGAUAACAUUUUAUAAUAGCACAAAAGGAGGAGUAGAUACAACUGAUAAAUUGUGUGCCAGUUAUAAUGUAGCAAGAAAUAUUCGUCGUUGGCCGAUGGUAGUGUUUUUCGCCAUUCUAAAUAUGAGUGAAAUUAAUGCGAGAUUGAUUCACAUUGGGAACGAUCAAGCAGUCACUAGAAGAAAAGUCUUUUGGAAAAAAUUAGUACUUCAUUAUACAGGCGAAGUCAGAAUACUGUAGGUAUGCCCCUCGACCUGCAAACGAAAAUUGCAGCCAUACCGACAGGACGAACGAAACCUUCCCAAUGAAGAAGGUCAAGAAGCUACAGGUGCGAAAAGAAGAUGAUGCCAGGAUUGUCAAGGACCAGCUAACAAGAGGAGGCUUGCCAAAUAUGACUGCAUCUUGUGUGAAAAAGCCAUAUGUUUGUCCCACUUGAAUUUUUACUGUAACGAGUGUAACACCAAUUUAAGACAAAAUAUUAAUGCUUAAUAAUAAUGGCAAUCGUUUUCUUUUGUCAAUUUAAAUUUCUUUUUACUAGCUUUAUUUGUUAUUUUCGCCUUUUAUUUUUUUACCACAGAAACUAGUAUAUAGUUUUAAAUUACAUUAUAUUUGAAAUUCCUACAUUAUUUUGAAUAGGAACAAUGAAAAUUUCUUUUGAGUACUUUGUCUAUAACAAAAACAUGUUUCAUUUUAUUUAAACCCUUUUAGGUAACUUAUUUUCAAUAGUGAUCACCCUUAUAUAAUGCGCCCGACAGAAGGUUAAGCUUCGAUUAAAUUGGGUUAAUUUUAGCUCCAAUUAGGUUAACUUUAUACUUGAUUUAUUUCAACUCCAGUUAGGUUUACUUUAGCUUCGACUAGGUUAGGUUUCAUUUAGGCUGGGUUUACUUUCUACUUAAUUAGGUUGGCUUAUUUUAGUUUUUGUUAGGUUCACUUUAACUUCGAUUAGGUUGGGUUAUUUUAGCUUCAGUUUCGAUAAAAUUAUAUUUUAGUAGUGUUUUUUAAUUAUCUUGUGACCUUUUGGGACAUAUUCAUGCUGCACAACACAUGUAUAAUCCCCAUUUUCAGAUAAUUUCAAUUUUGACAUUUUUUUUUGUUAUGGCGUUUAAAAAUCCUUCGACGUAUAAAAAAAUACAUUUCGAAUAAACACGAGUUAACUAUACGUGCCAACGAGUUGUGAAGACUUACAGGUGAAACCCACAGAGAAAUUUUUGAAAGUAGGUUAGAUAUUUUUGGGAUAAACCUUGUAUAAUAUUUAUCGACGAUAUAAUAAAACGUUUAGUUAAAAAAUCUCGCAAAUUUUAAUAUAAACUACAUAAAAAUACAGUUAUAUUACAAAAUGAAAAUUGCCACGGGUUUUUACAACUGAAGGCACCUCUAACAUGGCAUACGUUCAACGAAUUAAGAAAAAAUCAAAAGAAUACAAGAUAUUUAAUUGUUUAAACAGUGACCUAAAUACAUUGAAAUCAUACAAAUCUCUUAAAUGUAUUGUACACAACACACAACAAGGUUUAAUUUAAAUUUAUACUGUUCCUGUUAAUAAACAUAAGGAUUAAAGUAAAAUAAUUGGAUAUGAAGUUUCUGUAAAGUUUAGACCAUCAAACUAUUGUGUUAUAAAAAAAAAACAACAAAAUAAAAUUCCAUUUAUCGACAGUGCUUAAGGCCGAAACACACGUGACGACCGCACAGGUCUGAUGGAAAUCGUGCGGUGAAAAACGUACCGCAACGACAGUCAGCUUUUAAACAAAUAAUAAUUUUUUCACAGGAUUUAUCGAAUGGUAAAUAUCGCUUUUCCGCAAGAUUUUACCUAUCGAUUUUUUGAAUUUUUACGUAUAAAAUUUGACACUCAUGGUAUAUAUCACAAUAAUUAGGUGGAGAUUGUUAAAGAAAUGUCUUAAAUCACCUCGUUCCGGAGUAAGUAUCAACAGCUGUCAAACAAUAGUAGCUUUUUUGCAAUGUCUUCAAUUGAAAAACUUUUGUGAUACAAUGGUUAACGAAGAACAAUUCGAAGGAAAAGAAGGACAUCAAAGUCGAAUAUAUCCGGAAAAUAAGUAAUAGAAAAAGACCUUCGACACAAAUAGAACCUGAAGAGAGAAAAAUAAAAAAACUAAACAAAGUUUUGUUCCAAGUAAUAGAAAAUGGCAAGUUAGUUGCGUCUUCUGAAGGUGGAGACUAACAAAGAGAAGAAACUAUAAUCGAAACCAAGUUAGAUGCGAAGAAAGAGAUUAAGGAUGAUAAUUGUAGAAAAAAUAUGACUAAAGCUGCCAGUAUCAACAAGAAACCAGGAGGAUAUAACAGUUUGAUGAUUAAUAUCAAUUUCCACGAUAAUUAACAAAAAGGAAGAAUCAAAAAAAUAACAGGAUGCAAAUAGAGAAGAUGAGAUUAAAACAGAUCAAAAUAGGUGAAAAUACUCUAAGAUUCAACUGCACUGGAUACAAAUGUGGCUUAAAAGAACGUAAAUAUAGCUUAAAAAGUUAGAGGAAACUAUAAAUCGGGAAGAAUUUUAGAUCAAUUAGUAAAAAAAUAGCAACUCAAUAAGUUUUCAUCUGUUGCAUAUGAAGACAUUCAAAGAGAAGAAAUCGAGAAAGAAAAAAGGACCGUCCCCAACUUCGAGAUAGACGACUUAAAAUUAUCUUUAAAACGAAAAGAAAGAAGAUGAGCCAAAGAUCUUGAUGAUCGAAAAUAAGUUUGAAUCUUUUGAAGAUGACGAAGAAGACUUAAAAAGAGACUUGUAGGGAGGAUAAAUCGAUGAAGGAAAAAGAUAAAACAUCAGAAUUGACCAUAAAACGAAGAAAAAUAAGAUGGGCCGAAAUCUACAGAUAUAUGAUAAAAAAUUUAAGAACAAGUAAUAUAAAAUGAGAUCUUUUAAUAGAUGGUGAAAAAUGAGAAAACGGGUCAUAGAAAAAGGCUUCCGUACAAAUAGAACUUAAAGACUUGGAGGAAACUAUAAAUCGGGAAGGAUUUUAGUUCAUGUUCUCCAUUAGUAAAAAAAAUCAAGUCAAUUAGUUUUCCUUUUUUAAAGAUGAAAAGAAAUCGAGGAAGAAAAGGGACUUUCAAUGAAAUCAUUUUAAGAUAUCAUUAAAAUGGAAAGAAGAUGGAUUUAAGAUCUAUAUGAUCCUUCUACGCAAAUAGAUGCAUGAAGAAAUUAUAAAGCUGAAAGAAUUUUAGUAAAAGCUAUUGGUAUGACAAAAAAACAAGCUACUUAGAUUCUCUUCUGAAGAUGAAGACCAGCUGAAGAUCUGAAGAUAGAUGAAAUACAAGGAAUAAUAGAAAAACACCUUCGACAUAAAUAAAACUUAAAGAGUUAGAGUAAAUUAUAAAUCGGGAAGAAUUUGGUAGAAAAAAUCGAAUUAUUCAAAUUAGGCAUUUUGGAAAUGACUAGGAAUAUCAUCGGGACUGAUUGUAAAUGAUCCGGAAAUGGAAUACUUAGUAUUAUCAGGAAGAAAAGAUAAAAAGGAGCAGAAAAUUCGAGUUAUAACAUUUGGAAAACACAAUAAAAACAAGUAGAAUGAACAAAAAGAAAAUACGACUUGGCAACUAUACCCAACGAAUUGCUCUGAAAAUAUAUUUUGUUUUGCCGUCGAAACUAAUUAUAUUGAAUUUUCAAAAAAUCAAUCUGUAAGUGAAUUAUAUUGAAUUUUCAAAAAAUCAAUGGGUAAGUGAAAAGCGUGAAUAAAAGAAACAAGAAAAUAAACAUACAGUUAUCAAAACAAAUCAAGUAUUACCCGGUGGUGUUAUUUACCAAAAGAUUAACGUUUAUACAAAAUAAAAUUGAAAAUUUUUUUUUUCUUUUUUUUUAACGGUAGCCCUAUUAUAAAUUAUCGGUGUACUUUUGGACAUUGAUUCGACUAUUACAUUUUAGUCA